Molecule: transfer RNA, 77 nt
Filed under: Rheinheimera aquimaris
Lineage: Bacteria; Pseudomonadati; Pseudomonadota; Gammaproteobacteria; Chromatiales; Chromatiaceae
Also listed under: 6 other names
Description: tRNA-Arg
Rfam family: tRNA
About the family: Transfer RNA (tRNA) molecules are approximately 80 nucleotides in length. Their secondary structure includes four short double-helical elements and three loops (D, anti-codon, and T loops). Further hydrogen bonds mediate the characteristic L-shaped molecular structure. tRNAs have two regions of fundamental functional importance: the anti-codon, which is responsible for specific mRNA codon recognition, and the 3' end, to which the tRNAs corresponding amino acid is attached (by aminoacyl-tRNA synthetases). tRNAs cope with the degeneracy of the genetic code in two manners: having more than one tRNA (with a specific anti-codon) for a particular amino acid; and 'wobble' base-pairing, i.e. permitting non-standard base-pairing at the 3rd anti-codon position.
Source: RNAcentral
GCACCCGUAGCUCAGCUGGAUAGAGUAGGAGGCUUCGAACCUCUUGGUCGGGGGUUCGAAUCCCUCCGGGUGCACCA